RNAcentral lists this ribosomal RNA (497 nucleotides) under uncultured bacterium. RNAcentral's name for it is "partial 16S ribosomal RNA". It matches the Rfam family "Bacterial small subunit ribosomal RNA", at positions 28 to 507 of the family's 1533-position model. The record is from RNAcentral.
GAUGAACGCUGGCGGCGUGCCUAAUACAUGCAAGUCGAGCGAACAGACGAGGAGCUUGCUCCUCUGACGUUAGCGGCGGACGGGUGAGUAACACGUGGAUAACCUACCUAUAAGACUGGGAUAACUUCGGGAAACCGGAGCUAAUACCGGAUAAUAUAUUGAACCGCAUGGUUCAAUAGUGAAAGACGGUUUUGCUGUCACUUAUAGAUGGAUCCGCGCCGCAUUAGCUAGUUGGUAAGGUAACGGCUUACCAAGGCAACGAUGCGUAGCCGACCUGAGAGGGUGAUCGGCACCACUGGAACUGAGACACGGUCCAGACUCCUACGGGAGGCAGCAGUAGGGAAUCUUCCGCAAUGGGCGAAAGCCUGACGGAGCAACGCCGCGUGAGUGAUGAAGGUCUUCGGAUCGUAAAACUCUGUUAUUAGGGAAGAACAAAUGUGUAAGUAACUAUGCACGUCUUGACGGUACCUAAUCAGAAAGCCACGGCUAACUACGUG